Molecule: transfer RNA, 72 nt
Filed under: Ornithorhynchus anatinus (platypus)
Lineage: Eukaryota; Metazoa; Chordata; Mammalia; Monotremata; Ornithorhynchidae
Rfam family: tRNA
About the family: Transfer RNA (tRNA) molecules are approximately 80 nucleotides in length. Their secondary structure includes four short double-helical elements and three loops (D, anti-codon, and T loops).
Source: Rfam by way of RNAcentral
GUCAGCGUGGCUCAGUGGAAAGAGCACGGGCUUUGGACUCAGAGGCCAUGGGUUCGAGUCCCGGCUCUGCCA